UUGGAUCCUCUAACGUUGUGU
RNAcentral lists this non-coding RNA (21 nucleotides) under Arabidopsis thaliana (thale cress). Lineage: Eukaryota; Viridiplantae; Streptophyta; Magnoliopsida; Brassicales; Brassicaceae. The record is from RNAcentral.